GCUGGGUGGUAUAGCUCAGUGGUAGAGUACUUGCUUAGCAAGCAUGAUGUCCUGGGUUCAAUUCCCAGCACCAGCA
Molecule: non-coding RNA, 76 nt
Organism: Sciurus carolinensis (gray squirrel)
Lineage: Eukaryota; Metazoa; Chordata; Mammalia; Rodentia; Sciuridae
Source: the annotation of a RefSeq genome assembly